CAGCUUUGAUAUAUAUCAUCAGUACAAUCUCUUUUUUCAAUCAGGUUGUUUCAGGUAAUCUUUUGCCGCAUAGUCUGCCCUAGCUGACGCUGUGCAGAGAAUACUACGAUUGGAAACGGUUGGUUAGACCCGUUCGCACUGCACAAGGUGAUUUGGCGUUUAGAAUGUCUGAAAGCAAGAUGGACCGUAGUGAUGAGAGAAUCAAAAGAGCUUUAAGGCGCUGCCCUUAUGUGUUGAAUCCAGUGAGGGUGAACACCCCUGAUUCUGUGAUGUGGCCAACCGGUAAGGUGCACAGAAGACCAAGGCCUGUAAGUCAAAUCCGACCUGAAAACAAUUACACAUAAACCUUACUUAUGCUCCAUGUACAAACUGCAGUUAUCACAAUAAAAGCAACUGCAGAUAUCCCUCCCCAUCUAAACUCAUUUGAAAUUGAAUGCUGUCUUGACAGUCUACUUCAGCGCAGACCCCUCAGAUCCACAAAAGGCC
This 486-nucleotide long non-coding RNA is filed under the name Salmo salar (Atlantic salmon). RNAcentral describes it as "lncRNA (ENSSSAG00000084188.1)". Lineage: Eukaryota; Metazoa; Chordata; Actinopteri; Salmoniformes; Salmonidae. The record is from RNAcentral.